UACGAAGGGGGCUAGCGUUGCUCGGAAUCACUGGGCGUAAAGCGCACGUAGGCGGUUUCUAAGUCAGGGGUGAAAUCCUGGAGCUCAACUCCAGAACUGCCUUUGAUACUGAAGAUCUUGAGUUCGGGAGAGGUGAGUGGAACUGCGAGUGUAGAGGUGAAAUUCGUAGAUAUUCGCAAGAACACCAGUGGCGAAGGCGGCUCACUGGCCCGAUACUGACGCUGAGGCACGAAAGCGUGGGGAGCAAACAGG
RNAcentral lists this ribosomal RNA (252 nucleotides) under uncultured bacterium. RNAcentral's name for it is "partial 16S ribosomal RNA". It matches the Rfam family "Bacterial small subunit ribosomal RNA", at positions 524 to 776 of the family's 1533-position model. The record is from RNAcentral.